AUGUGCAUCCCGAAGGAAAGAGGGGGUAUGGGGUUUCGAGAUGUCCAGAGUUUUAACUUAGCCAUGCUGGCCAAGCAGUGUUGGGGGCUGAUUGAGCAUAAUGAGUCCCUGUGUGCAAGGGUAUUAAGAGCGAGAUACUACCCCACUGGCGACAUUUUGAAUUGUGAGCUGAAGAAGGGUUCCUCUUAUAUUUGGAGGAGCAUUUGGGCGGGUAUACAAACAUUUAAAGAAGGAUGCAUUUGGAGGGUUGGCGAUGGUGCAAAAAUUAAUAUCUGGACUGACUGUUGGAUUCCCAACAGUUUUUCAAGGAAGGUGGUCACUGUCCGGGGUAACCAAGUGCUCACAAAAGUAAUUGAACUCAUAGACCCGAUUACAGGUGAAUGGGAUGAGGAGCUGAUCCGUCAAAUUUUUUGGCACAUCGAUGCAGAACGCAUCCUACAGAUCCCCUUGCACCAACAAGUAACAGAAGAUUAUGUUGCUUGGCAUCUGACCAGGAGCGGAAUUUUUUCAGUCAGAUCAGCUUACUACAAAUAG
Molecule: ribosomal RNA, 534 nt
Filed under: Triticum aestivum (bread wheat)
Lineage: Eukaryota; Viridiplantae; Streptophyta; Magnoliopsida; Poales; Poaceae
Description: partial small subunit ribosomal RNA
Source: RNAcentral